CGUAAAUGAGUACUUGCACGUACGUCAGUGUCGUAGCAAUAAGUCGAACCUUUAGUGGACGAAUCGGGUGACAUAUCCUCCAUUUUUUCGUGCGAAAUUUCUACAAAGUUGGUGGUCCUGCUGGUAAACGAGAUGGUAUAAUGUGGUAUUAAGGUUGGGAAAAUCUGCUACAAAGGUAAUUAUGCGGAUAAUACCGAUUUUCUGUUAUGAUUAUGAUCAGGUUCAGUGUUAAAUGUUCCAUAAGUUACUUGUGCUGUGUGCUGAUAUAUUUGGACUGCAGUUGUGCUUCACAGAUGGCUGGUAUUACCAUGAACUUCCCGGGGGGACAUUUCAUGGUUACUGUUCGGAGGUGGAAAGGCAAUGUUGUCGGUGAGAACAGCAAAUUUAUACAUUUGAUUGAAUACAUGAAGAAGUGAUGCUGUAUCAGUUGCAGCACAUUUGGUAUACAGAUCGCAUCUCUUUGUCAUAGGGCAACAAGAUUAUAUAUGAGGCAAGGAUAUUCUGGCUACAGUACAUUUCAGCAUUUCACAAACAUAGCAAAUUGAACAGGUGAUGUUCACCAUUCAAAUAUUACAUUGCUGAAUACAAAGGACCAAGCUUCCCAGAGGUAUGUGGAGGAUGAAGCUCAUGGCCUCUGAGACCCAUCAGGAAGAAUGUCAGAUGUUAGAGACCAGGGAUCCAGAAAAAUGUGCAUCAAAUUCAUCUCAUGACAUGGGGUCACUGGUUGUCUUGUGACAUCCUUGAGAUAUGACUUACCUGAUCAUGAGAGAUUAAAGUUCCGCUCUGCUUCCACUCCUGCAGAAACACAUAGUACAAGAGGAUUCAUCAACAAAAAUAUAAACCAGACACGUGCAUAACAGCAGCAUGAUAAUGCAAUAUAACCUAGAAUGUUCUUAGGCAUUUACAAAAAAGCAAGGCAGAACAACAUCACAGCAAAGCAGCAGAUUCCUUCAUCACAACAUGUUACACACCUGAUGACAGCCAGUUAGGCUGAAACUCAUUGGUGACCUUUUCUCCUAGAAUUUGCAACAGGCAGGAACUGUUUCUCUUUUGCCUUUGCAUUCCUGUCACAUGUAGUGGUUCACAGUGCUUAGUUCUUUGUGGUGUAGUUUGCAGGCUGUGAAGUUAUAAGUAGCCAAUGUGAACUUAGAAAACCAAUUCAUCUCCCAUGGGCAUCACUAGAGUCACCUUAAGUCCAAGCAUGCUGCAAUGAAUACUUUAAUUGUCAUAGCUGUUCCCUUACCUGCUCAAGUUCUCCUUCAAGUGUCUAUAGUAGUCUUCUGGAAGGAUUUUCUUUUCUUCACUGUUUGAGUUUUCAUAAGCAACACAACAAUUUAACUAUUUAUUUUGUGUAAAAAAUACAUAAUUAAACAUUCUGGUUUAUGUUUUAAGAUUAAUGUGAAGCUGACUAUUGUUUUUACCAUUCAUUUUUGCAGUUGGGUGAUUUUUUUAUUUAUUUAUUUAUUUACAUUUAUACAUUCCGUUGAUCCUUAUGGUACAGCUGACCAGUGGAUAUGGAUUUUGUCCCAAGCUAAUAGAUUAAAAUGCGCAAAAUACAAAAACUACAUACAUACUUUUGUCAUUGAGACAGUUAAAAGAUUUAUAUUAGUGUACAAUGCAUAAAAUGAUCAAAAUUAUAAAACAAUAAUUGAUACAAAAUAUUUAGGUAAUGAUAUAAAAUUAUAACAUAUC
This is a long non-coding RNA of Cryptotermes secundus, 1692 nucleotides long. RefSeq lists it as uncharacterized. NCBI's taxonomy places the organism in Eukaryota, Metazoa, Arthropoda, Insecta, Blattodea, Kalotermitidae. The record is from RefSeq and is a predicted model, not a curated record. The transcript has 3 exons.